UUAUCCAUUCGGACUCAAUGACUCAUUCAUCUCUCUCUCUCUCUCUCGCGCUCCCCAAAGGCGUCCAGUACGCCCAGUCUCCCUACGCCGUAGUUUCUGCCCUUCUUCGCCGGAGCGGGAGCUUCGAAUCGGCUCUGUAGAGAUGGAGAGAUCUGGUAGAGGCGGCGCCGAUAUCCGGGACUUGCUUCGGAGUUCCUCAGGACGGAGACAUCAUAAACAUAGAUGUUACUGUCUACCUAAAUGGAUAUCAUGGAGACACAUCAAAGACAUUUCUUUGUGGGGAGGUCAGUGAUAGUGUGCAACGCCUAGUGAAGGUGUUCUGUAACAGGCGUUAAGCCUGCAUCUGGGGAUUCUCCUUUACAGGUAGCAUGGGAUGUGACCCAGAUCUGCUUCAAAAUGUGAGAUGUGUCAGUCCAUGUUUGGUCGAAUUGGUAUCGAGCAUACCAACUAUUGAUCUAUCUCCCUACUCGCCUCCAAGAAAGAAGCUGCGGCUUCAACAAAACCAAGACUAUUCUCUUAUUGGUCAACUGCCAAUGCCGUCUGUUUACGGCUCUUUUUUUUUUUUAGGUUACCUUGCUAGCACCCAAUAGCUUGUAUACUUAUUCAAAUUUGUAAACACAUCUUCAAUUUACUUUGGCUCGGAUCACUGAAAUUAACAACCAAGGCUGGUAUGGAUCUCUAAUGAUGGUAUAACAGUGACAUGCAAUG
Molecule: long non-coding RNA, 708 nt
Organism: Rosa rugosa (rugosa rose)
Lineage: Eukaryota; Viridiplantae; Streptophyta; Magnoliopsida; Rosales; Rosaceae
Exons: 5
Source: RefSeq, a predicted model, not a curated record